Cavia porcellus (domestic guinea pig) is the source of this 296-nucleotide regulatory RNA element. It matches the Rfam family "Mason-Pfizer monkey virus packaging signal". From Rfam's summary of the family: The packaging signal is located in the 5' UTR and is required for specific RNA encapsidation. Lineage: Eukaryota; Metazoa; Chordata; Mammalia; Rodentia; Caviidae. The record is from Rfam.
UGGCGCCCAACGUGGGGCUCCUGGCAUGGGGGACUUAACGAGGGAGCCGUUUAAGAACGCAGGCUGAAAGUGAAAGUAAACUGAAUCAAGGCCGAGGCCUGUGUGGAUGACCACCCAACGUGCCGCCCGAGUCACAGUGAGUGAACGGCAACCCCACUGCCUUUCCCCGACAUGGGUCAAGCAUUGAGCGAACAUGAAUUGUUCGUGGGAGGCCUUAGCAAGGCAUUAAAGACAAGAGGGGUAAGGGUUAGAACAAAAGAAUUGUUGCAGUAUUUUCAGUUUAUCCAUAAAGUUUG